Candoia aspera is the source of this 1510-nucleotide long non-coding RNA. RefSeq lists it as uncharacterized. The transcript has 4 exons. NCBI's taxonomy places the organism in Eukaryota, Metazoa, Chordata, Lepidosauria, Squamata, Candoiidae. The record is from RefSeq and is a predicted model, not a curated record.
AGAUGGUAGAAUAUUUAUUAUGCGUAUGCGUGAAGCAUGCAUCAUGUUGAGUUGAUCCAUUGUUUACCAAAUCAACUAUAAUUGUCCCUAGAUUUGCACAAUUUAAGAAUAAACUAUAGCUCACAAAGCACCAUGCUGCAUCUGUACACAUGCUGUGACCAGACACUUCAUGCUUACCAUUGUUUACAAGCUCAGGUGUUCUGGUAUGCUACAUGCAUUACUUAGUGCCAAUGCCAGUUGCAUUCAUUUCUAACAACAGUUUGAUUGCAGGCAAGAAUCUUGUUGGUUUGUUUGAUGCUGCUGAAAAUGCCGUUUAACUCAAAGGUGAACACUUUGGAACAUCAAGCCAGCCUUCUGCCUUGGCUGGAUUCUGCUGCUGAUGGAGCAUCCCAUCCACCUCCUGACACUUGAGGGAUAGUUGGCACUGCCACUCCUCUGACCAGUUUGAGAUCAUGAACAAUGCUCUGCUGUGAAUAUAACCUGGUUCAAAAGCAAAAGCACGCUUGAAAGCCUGUCCUGGAGGAUGGGAAUGGCAGCUUAUACCUGAAAUGCAUGUGAGAAGUAUUCUGAAAAGCCCAAGGUAGUUUGGAAGGAGAAAAAAUAUUGAAAGCAUCAGCUGUCCUCAGCAUUGGUAUAGAAGAGAACCUACUUGUACAGGCCUGGAGAAAAAGUAGACCAAGCGGCUUUGGAUAGAAGGCUUAAUGAAAGAAUCUACGCUAAUAAGAAUAUGGGCCUGAUGGUCUAAUUUGCCAUCUUACCCCCCCCGCCCCGCCCCGCCCCGUUCUUAAGCUGUUGUACAGUGUAGACUCCAGCAGCAACUGUGGUGGUUAUAGAACAAAUCUGUGUCUGGGAUUAAACAGUAUGAAGCCACAGUGUGGGUUGCUUGGUUUUUCUUAAGUGUGCCAUGUGAACCCAUCCAGUGUGGUUUGUAAGUAAUGAUGUAUGGGUUAACAUCCAUGAGCCUGCUAAUUUGAAUUCAGACAAUAUUUUUAACAAACCAUGCUUAGCUAAAUUUGGGGAUCCAGCGUGAUGCACUGUUGUGGGUGAGGGGAGUUCAGGCCGAGCAAAGGAUGUUGGGAGGAACUGUUAAACUUAGAGCAGUAGGGAUAUAAUCCUGAAUUCCUCUGCCUUUGUCAGUCCUUUUUAUAUUUUACUGAAGCUUGAUAAUUGGCAUUUAUAUUUUCCCUACUAACAUAACAUUAGUUUCUGACUUUGCAAACCUUUAUAUAUUUAAAUAUAAAUAAUUUGUAUCAAAGACCAGUAAAGUUUAUUUUAUAUGCAAGCGUUCAUGGCGUUCUUAAUUACUUCAACUAUAAUGAAUUUUAGCAGCAUCAUAGAAAAUAGCUUCCUAAUGUUUUGUUUUUCAUGAUCACUGACUUGGGCAAAGCUGGGAAUUUAUUACCUCACCUUAACAUUUUACUACAUUUCUGGACUUUGAGCAGCUUACAGUAUUGGUAUCAAGAUUAAAACAAACAUUAAUAAAAGUAUAUACUCUUAGUCUGAUAUGUCA